Cyprinus carpio carpio is the source of this 1524-nucleotide long non-coding RNA. NCBI's taxonomy places the organism in Eukaryota, Metazoa, Chordata, Actinopteri, Cypriniformes, Cyprinidae. The record is from Ensembl.
AUUAUGUCUUAAUUGAAACUACUGUUUUAAAUAAGCGCAGUUUAGAGAAAUGUACCUCUUUUUUCUCUUCAGACUGGCAGGUCGGUGACGGCAGCCAUGACAGUUCCAUCCGGGUUCCGCUCCCUUCACUGCGCGUGAGGCAGGAACUCAGAGCGGAUGAAUAUGGAUUACCUGAAAGACUCAUUAGGUCGUCUUCUUUACCAACAUGUAUUUGUUUUUUAAACCUCAAAACAACGUAUAUAAAUGCAAUACAAUGUUCCUUUGGUUAAUUCAAGAAUAGAACGUGUUGUUUAAAGUCCAUGCAGUUCUCGCUCUGUUUUAGAAGCAGUUAAAUCCAUUAUUAAAAGUGGCCAUGCAUACUGCUGUUUUGUAGACUCUAGGGACGCCAUGACUCACUCUAGAUCAUGGCGCGCCAUCUUGACCUACAAUAUCAUUCUUCUAACGAUAAAUAGUGGGUUAUUAGUAUCGACACACCGAGGUGCUGCAAAUAGAUGUAUGAAGUAUUGUACACAUUUUAUUCCGUAAUAUAAUUUGACUCAACUCAACUUUAUUGUCAUUCUUCCACAUACACAAUAUACAGAAGAGCAUGAAUGUCGUUUCUGAUGGACCAAGGUGCAAUUGACAAAACAAGUAUAUGCAGGUGUUCAUGACAACGGGAAUUUAAUCAAGAGCACAUUAAACCUAACAUAACAAGAACAAUAGAGCAACGUGACGAGCAAUAAACAUGAGUUUUUGAACCACACAGUUCCUCUGUAGAAGGUGGUGAGGAUGGGUGGUGGGAGGCUGGCUCUCUUCAACUUCGAUGUUUUGCCUUCUUCACAGCGGAGUUGGCGUUGAUGGACCAGGUGAGCUCAUCAGAGAUGUGCACACCGAGAAACGUGCUGCUCCUGAUUCUCUCUAUAACAGAGCCGCUGAUGAGCAGAGGAAGAUGGUCAGUUGACCUUCUCCGGAAAUCAACAACAAUCUCUUUAAUCUUCUCCACACUGAGCGACAGAUUGUUGUUGUGGCACCAGCUCACCAGUUGUUCCACCUCCUCUCUGUAUGUUGUUUCUUUGUCGUUGCUGAUGAGGCCCAGUACUGUCGUGUCAUCAGCAAACUUGACAAUGAAGUUGGAUUCUGACUUGGCUGUGCAGUCGUGGGUGAGCAGCGUGAACAGCAGUGAACUGAGCACACAGCCUUGAGGGGCACCUGUGCUCAAUGUGAUGGUGCCUGAUGUCCUUCACCCAUACACACUGACUGUGUUCUCUCUAUCAAUGUGAUAAGACAGAGUGCAGUGUGUAGGAGAUAGCAUCAUCUGUAGAGUGGUUGGGUCGGUAUGCAAAUUGUAGUGGGUCCAGUGAAGAGGGCAAAGUGGAGUGAAUGUGUCUUUUAACCAGACGUUCCAAGCACUUCAUUGUUAUGGGAGUCAGUGCUACAGGGCGGUAAUCAUUAAGACGUCACUGUUGACUGUGGUCUUUUUGAAGCACAUAGGGACCAUAAAAUAAAUUUUAUGUUACACACUAUUAUACAAUUUUUUACACAAAG